Molecule: ribosomal RNA, 465 nt
Filed under: uncultured Klebsiella sp.
Lineage: Bacteria; Pseudomonadati; Pseudomonadota; Gammaproteobacteria; Enterobacterales; Enterobacteriaceae
Description: bacterial SSU rRNA
Rfam family: Bacterial small subunit ribosomal RNA
Source: RNAcentral
CCUACGGGUGGCAGCAGUGGGGAAUAUUGCACAAUGGGCGCAAGCCUGAUGCAGCCAUGCCGCGUGUGUGAAGAAGGCCUUCGGGUUGUAAAGCACUUUCAGCGGGGAGGAAGGCGGUGAGGUUAAUAACCUCAUCGAUUGACGUUACCCGCAGAAGAAGCACCGGCUAACUCCGUGCCAGCAGCCGCGGUAAUACGGAGGGUGCAAGCGUUAAUCGGAAUUACUGGGCGUAAAGCGGACGCAGGCGGUCUGUCAAGUCGGAUGUGAAAUCCCCGGGCUCAACCUGGGAACUGCAUUCGAAACUGGCAGGCUAGAGUCUUGUAGAGGGGGGUAGAAUUCCAGGUGUAGCGGUGAAAUCCGUAGAGGUCUGGAGGAAUACCGGUGGCGAAGGCGGCCCCCUGGACAAAGACUGACGCUCAGGUGCGAAAGCGUGGGGAGCAAACAGGAUUAGAUACCCGUGUAGUC